Danio rerio (zebrafish) is the source of this 676-nucleotide non-coding RNA. The record is from RefSeq and is a predicted model, not a curated record. Lineage: Eukaryota; Metazoa; Chordata; Actinopteri; Cypriniformes; Danionidae.
GGGAGUGUUAAUUUUAACUCUAAGGUAGUUAAAUCUACUAUCUAAAAUUUGCUGUGUGGUUGUGGCAGUAAUGCACCUUCCAAGUUGAGUUCCUGACAGGCAAUAAAUCAGGAAGAAGAAGAAAGGGAAGAAGAACUGAAAGAGUCAAAGAGCUCAGAUUGUGUUUCUUCUGGACAAGAGUGUCUGCACUUUUGCAUGGUUUCUGCUGGAGAUCAAACUCUUCAGAUCCAUGAUGGAGAACAAAUACACUUCUAGAGAUCAGGAUUUGUUUACAGGAUGCAGUUCAGUUCAUCAGAAGAGAGCAGAAGCAGAGCCCAGCUGUGUGUCUAUGAAGAGUGACGCGUCUAUGGAGCCACCAAUAAAAUUUAAGAGUGGAAACACACGACCUGCUGUCAGGUAGAUCAUCUCUACACACACAUGAUCACACUGCAGCAUUUAUAUGAUCCUGUGUUUCUGGAAGAUCAGACAUUUACAAGUAUUACAUUUACAGGAGACUUUAAAACUAAAUGUCCACACACUAACAUCUGAUCAUUAGUGAAGUACUAAUAAAGCAUUAAUACUCAAACUGUUAGAGUUAGUAGAGUGAGUUUACAGGAUUUUACAAUAGUCAGCAAAGUGUGGAUAAUCAAGAGAAAGAUUUUAGACGAGAUGAAUGAACAAAUUCUGUGAGACAAAC